RNAcentral lists this transfer RNA (71 nucleotides) under Rhipicephalus microplus (southern cattle tick). Its description in RNAcentral is "tRNA-Gly". It matches the Rfam family "tRNA". Rfam says of the family: Transfer RNA (tRNA) molecules are approximately 80 nucleotides in length. Their secondary structure includes four short double-helical elements and three loops (D, anti-codon, and T loops). Further hydrogen bonds mediate the characteristic L-shaped molecular structure. tRNAs have two regions of fundamental functional importance: the anti-codon, which is responsible for specific mRNA codon recognition, and the 3' end, to which the tRNAs corresponding amino acid is attached (by aminoacyl-tRNA synthetases). tRNAs cope with the degeneracy of the genetic code in two manners: having more than one tRNA (with a specific anti-codon) for a particular amino acid; and 'wobble' base-pairing, i.e. permitting non-standard base-pairing at the 3rd anti-codon position. The record is from Rfam by way of RNAcentral. Lineage: Eukaryota; Metazoa; Arthropoda; Arachnida; Ixodida; Ixodidae.
GCGUCGGUGGUUCAGUGGUAGAAUACUCGCCUGCCACGCGGGUGACCCGGGUUCGAUUCCCGGCCGAUGCG